This 468-nucleotide ribosomal RNA is filed under the name uncultured bacterium. Its description in RNAcentral is "partial 16S ribosomal RNA". It matches the Rfam family "Bacterial small subunit ribosomal RNA", at positions 28 to 507 of the family's 1533-position model. The record is from RNAcentral.
GACGAACGCUGGCGGCGUGCUUAACACAUGCAAGUCGAACGGAAAGGCCCUGCUUUUGUGGGGUGCUCGAGUGGCGAACGGGUGAGUAACACGCGAGUAACCUGCCCUUGACUUUGGGAUAACUUCAGGAAACUGGGGCUAAUACCGGAUAGGAGCUCCUGCUGCAUGGGGGGGGUUGGAAAGUUUCGGCGGUUGGGGAUGGACUCGCGGCUUAUCAGCUUGUUGGUGGGGUAGUGGCUUACCAAGGCUUUGACGGGUAGCCGGCCUGAGAGGGUGACCGGCCACAUUGGGACUGAGAUACGGCCCAGACUCCUACGGGAGGCAGCAGUGGGGAAUAUUGCACAAUGGGCGGAAGCCUGAUGCAGCAACGCCGCGUGCGGGAUGACGGCCUUCGGGUUGUAAACCGCUUUCGCCUGUGACGAAGCGUGAGUGACGGUAAUGGGUAAAGAAGCACCGGCUAACUACGUG